This 376-nucleotide unclassified non-coding RNA is filed under the name uncultured Actinomycetes bacterium. RNAcentral's name for it is "uncultured actinobacterium contains 16S-23S intergenic spacer region". The record is from RNAcentral. Lineage: Bacteria; Bacillati; Actinomycetota; Actinomycetes.
UCCGAGUUGUCCCCGGCAGUCUCCUUAGAGUCCCCACCAUUACGUGCUGGCAACUAAGGACAGGGGUUGCGCUCGUUGCGGCACUUAAGCCAACACCUCACGGCACGAGCUGACGACAGCCAUGCAGCACCUGUGCCAGCCCCUUACGGACACGGGCUUUCACCCGCUUUAACUAGCAUGUCAAGCCUAGGUAAGGUUCUUCGCGUUGCAUCGAAUUAAGCCACAUGCUCCGCCGCUUGUGCGGGUCCCCGUCAAUUCCUUUGAGUUUUAGCCUUGUGGCCGUACUCCCCAGGCGGAACACUUAUCGCGUUGGCUGCGGCACGGGGGGAUUCGACUCCCCCCACACCUAGCACCCAUCGUUUACGGCUGGGACUAC